This 587-nucleotide ribosomal RNA is filed under the name Filobasidium magnum. RNAcentral describes it as "partial large subunit ribosomal RNA". It matches the Rfam family "Eukaryotic large subunit ribosomal RNA", at positions 81 to 655 of the family's 3401-position model. The record is from RNAcentral. RNAcentral also lists the same sequence under 1 other name. Lineage: Eukaryota; Fungi; Basidiomycota; Tremellomycetes; Filobasidiales; Filobasidiaceae.
UAGUACGGCGAGUGAAGCGGGAAGAGCUCAAAUUUGAAAUCUGGUGGCCUCAGGUCAUCCGAGUUGUAAUCUAUAGAAGUGUUUUCCGUGCUGGCUCAUGUACAAGUCCCUUGGAACAGGGCGUCAUAGAGGGUGAGAAUCCCGUCCUUGACAUGAACUACCAGUGCUCUGUGAUACAUUUUCAACGAGUCGAGUUGUUUGGGAAUGCAGCUCAAAAUGGGUGGUAAAUUCCAUCUAAAGCUAAAUAUUGGCGAGAGACCGAUAGCGAACAAGUACCGUGAGGGAAAGAUGAAAAGCACUUUGGAAAGAGAGUUAAACAGUAUGUGAAAUUGUUGAAAGGGAAACGAUUGAAGUCAGUCGUGCUCUUUGGAUUCAGCCGGUUCUGCCGGUGUACUUCCUUUGAGUGGGGUCAACAUCAGUUUUGAUCGCUGGAUAAAGGCUGGAGGAACGUAGUACCCUCGGGUAAACUUAUAGCCUCCUGUCACAUACAGUGGUUGGGACUGAGGAACGCAGCACGCCUUUAUGGCCGGGAUUCGUCCACGUACGUGCUUAGGAUGUUGACAUAAUGGCUUUAAACGACCCGUCUU